This 378-nucleotide ribosomal RNA is filed under the name uncultured bacterium. RNAcentral describes it as "bacterial SSU rRNA". It matches the Rfam family "Bacterial small subunit ribosomal RNA", at positions 28 to 407 of the family's 1533-position model. The record is from RNAcentral.
GACGAACGCUGGCGGCGUGCUUAACACAUGCAAGUCGAGCGGUAAGGCCCUUUCGGGGGUACACGAGCGGCGAACGGGUGAGUAACACGUGGGUGACCUGCCCUUAGCUCUGAGAUAAGCCUGGGAAACUGGGUCUAAUACCGGAUAUGACUCCAUAACGCAUGUUGUGGGGUGGAAAGCCUUGUGCGGCUAGGGAUGGGCCCGCGGCCUAUCAGCUUGUUGGUGGGGUGAUGGCCUACCAAGGCGACGACGGGUAGCCGGCCUGAGAGGGCGACCGGCCACACUGGGACUGAGACACGGCCCAGACUCCUACGGGAGGCAGCAGUGGGGAAUCUUACGCAAUGGGCGAAAGCCUGACGCAGCGACGCCGCGUGGGGA